This is a long non-coding RNA of Gavialis gangeticus (Gharial), 4218 nucleotides long. RefSeq lists it as uncharacterized. The record is from RefSeq and is a predicted model, not a curated record. NCBI's taxonomy places the organism in Eukaryota, Metazoa, Chordata, Crocodylia, Gavialidae. The transcript has 2 exons.
UUACACAUUUGAAUGUAACACUUGCAACUCUAAGACAGCCUUUAAUCUCUUUUGAAGAACUAUCUGCCUUCAGAAAUAUUAUGCAAAUACACAUUCAAAUGAUAGAAACACAUGGAACCUCUAAAGGUUUUUCCUUCUUUGAAAACUACAUACAAAAUUCUGUGUUUAUAUAGCAUGAAAAGUUUGAUACACGCCAACAGGUUCCAGGGAAUUCAAAACCACGCCUCCCAUUCUGAUGAAAACUUAUACCAUUCUGCCUUUUCUCUCCCCUCCCCAAAUCUGCUUCCCAAAGUAGGAUUAGAAUGGAGCCUGACCUCAGUUUUAAUUUUAAAGUGCCUAGACAAAGUUCUGCCCUCAGUUAAUCUCCCCUUCCCCAUCCUUGAUUUCAGAGUGAUUAUGUGGGUGCAGCUGGAGCUGGCAUUUGUACAUCUCCCUGUUGUCAGUUUAUGUAAUAACGUGAGCAUUGUCUAAACAUAGGGUUUCGUAUUUAAUAAUCUCACCAGCUCAACUGUUUUUAUCUGAAUCUCCCUCCUGAACUGAUAAAACUAAAUUGCACAUUUUCUAAACCGCUUAGCUUAGGGGUAAAUCUUGCAGGUAUCCUCAAAUGACUGUCUAACGUCUUUUGCACCUGUCUAGCACCAUCUACUGUAACUUUUGUAUACUGUCUUCUCUGUCUUUCAUGAUUGCAAAUUUAUGAUUCUGGAUGGAGCCUACCCUGCUCCUGGAGUAUUCAGAGAAAAACGUAAAGUCUGCGUUCCCUUCAAAAGCCACAUGCCAUUUUGACAAUCAUAAAUACAAUGUGCACGUAUUGCAAGCUAAACUCUAUUUUUCAAAUUUAAAAUUAAUUUUACAGGAAAAAGUAUCUUAGAUUGGUUAGUUUUCUAGCAGCAAGUUGUACUCGCUAUCCACAGAGUAGAUCUCAGGAUCUCAAAUAGAGAUCAGCACCCCUUGUACACUACACAGGCUGGCUCAACUGGUCAUAGGAUUUUCAGAAAGCCUGCAAAGCAAGGUAUAAGAACAGGACCCGGUUGGGGGAAGGAAUAAUAUUGGUCUGUGGAACCUCAUAGCAGAAGAAACUAUGACUAUUGCCUUCUCUGGUAAGGACAUUGGGUCAGCUGGGAUACUUAUACCCUAAGAGGAGCUGUGGGCUAGAAGCAGAAGAGGAAGGAACUCCCCAGUGAUCUCUUUUGUAUUCAGAGCUGAUAAAGAAUUUCAUGUUGUAUAUUUUAAUUAUGCUGCAUUUUUGCAGGAGAAAGUUGCAUGGCUAAGGAGGAUAACAGAAAAAGAGCCAGGCCUUCCUGACUAGUGUGAUGAUUAUGGGUUUAUUAUUAUUAGUCGUUUUAAAGUAGCAUCAAAAGGCCAGAGCCAGGACUGGGAGCCCAUUGUGCCAGGCACUUUUGUGUUAUGCAGUUUCUUUCUAAAAAUCUGAUUAUAUAAAUAGCAUCACUUUUCUGGAUGACAGGUUGGCAACAAUAAUACUAUUCAGGCUUUUCCAGACAUGGGAUCACCUGCAUUAUUUUCUGGAUUGGUAUAACAAAGACAUCACAUGUGUAUGGCAUGUGCACUUUUCAUGAUAAAUACUGGAAAUUAUUCCUAUGAAACAAUACCGGCCUCUUUACCCAAGACAAUUCAUUUAAUUUGAUAGUGAGUAACAUACCAUUUAGUUUUCCAUGAUUAUCGUAGAGGGUGAAAAUUGAGUAGAUUUUGUGAUUCAUCUUGUAAACUGUUUUGACAGUUUUGCAAAGCUGUCACCAUGACAUCUCGUUGUGGUCCAGGUCAUGCUUCUUGAUGAUGCUCUAAAAAGGGCAAACCUAGGCUAGUGCUCCAGCCAAAUGCAUUUGUUCGAGUGCAGUGUUUUAUAUCUGCCAGGGAAUUUAUCUUAUGGUAUCAGUAUUCAGGAAGAGAAGAGAUUGAAGCCCACUCUCUCCUGGAUUACCUCACAUUUGCUAGUUUAUGACAAUGGCAUUUUUCAUUUGCACAUGUAGAAAGAAAUUAAGCCUUGUAAUAAAUGUGCAUUUCAAACCUGAUUUCAAUGUCCGCCGUCAUUGGCAGACUACAAGUGUUCAUUUUUUUUAGGCAAGGGUGCUGAAGCAAAUGAAAUAAGCCUGCCAUAAAAAUAAUUUUGUCCAGGUGGGGCAUAAAUCAGAUGAAAAAAUAUCAUUCCACAUGGCAAAUAAAAAUCAUGUGCUGUAUUAUUUAAAGCUCAGCCUCCUCAUUCGCCUACACACCACAAGUGAUAGUGUGAAGUGAAACUGAUGUAAGCAAACAAUUAAAAUACUGGAGUAAGACACGAUGCAGGAAACGAUUCAAGAAGAGCCACUUGCAGGGUCAUGGUCGCAUUCUAUUUCAAGUGGGCAUGGAAAUGCAGUGUGGAUUUUCUUCUCCAGAGAUGUGCAGAUAAUAAACAGCUGCUCCCCACAUCUACUCUUUCCUUUUAACUCUUGAUUUAUUGAAUAUUUCUGGAAACUCUGGUUAGGCUAGCAAGGAAGAAAAUGGGAUGCCUACUCAUAAGCACUGGGGUCAGAUACAAAAAUACUGAUGGGUUAUCUCCUGUGAGUCCCUUGGGGGAAACUUAUAACAAAAGCUACUUGGGUUUGUUUGUUUUUUAUUUCACACAAAUUAACGGACCAAGUAAAUGGGUAUCCCCCUUGAGAAGGUUUUAUUCUUUUCUUUUGUAAAUUAUUGCUCCACACCCAUUAAUGUCAGGAAAUAUUCCAAACUAUGUUCCCCACCUCCCCUUUGUGCUUCCCCCAAAGAUGUCCCAAACCAUGUCCAAGGUUCUGCAGCCUCUAUACAAAUGCUUCUAAAAUGGGAUCUUUUAGCUCUCAAAGCACUGAAGCAACAAACUGGAACUUUAAAAAAUGUUCUUUUAAAAUUUAUUUUCAAAAUAUAUGUACAAAAUCCAAACUUUUUCAAUCCUGUUCAUGUUGCAUUGGAGACAGUGUGCCUAAUGAACUUCUUAUCCUGAUCCAAAUUUGUCCAAGGCUCAGUCCAGUCCACUGGUCUAUUCCUAUCUCCAAACUGAAAAGAGAAAUAGCUUCAGUUCUGAGGCUGUUUCUUGACUGAUAAUAAAUUAGUGUUGAACAUAAGAGUCAUUAGAGGAUUUUGAGUCUGAGUCAUCGCAAAGAGACUCUGAACUGAUGAGAUUUUCCCAUGUAACUCAAUAAAAAUAAUUGCAUAGUGCACUUGUCCAGCGUAAAUUAUGCUCUUUCGCUAUUCUCUCAUACUUUCCUUCAAGAUGCAUGGGCAGAGCUUUGUAGUGAUGGGCUCUGGAGAUAUACGAGUCAGGAAAGAGACAGGGGUUAGCAGGAACUAAACAUCAUUGGCAAGAACAAGAAGAAAGAUUUUUUUUUUUAAUUCAAAAUGUGAAUUCAUGGGGUAAGGCUGCCUCAGAAUGAAGCUAAAAUCUGCUCUUCUCAUGUAUGGUUUUAAAUAAAAAAUGAGCGCUCACCCUAGCAACUGGAGCAAUGCACGGUUCAGUAUCUCUGUGGUGCUAAGCAGUUUAUUAACCUAGCACUAUAAAAUCACUCAGAAUGACAUUUAGGAACAUUAAACUUCAGACAUAAAUCCACCAAUGUAAGGAAAUGCAGAGUUGGGCAGCCGUUGAGCCUUUCCCUUAGCUGUGUUGUGUGCACAGACAGCAGCGCAUGUUGUGUGGGCAGUGAGCCAGAUGCACAGCAGUCUGAAGGAUUCAAGAGAAGGCAGGAGCCAAGGGCUCUUCAGUACCACUCUCCAGCUCUGCUGUUAGCUCCUGAGCGGGUCCUGAGCAGGUCAGAUUGGACCAGAUUUUAAGGUCAGGAACUGUAGCAGCAGCCACGUAAAAAUCUGACCUUGUGUAAGAGUUUCAAAUAGAAGCUGAGUUCUUGUAAAAAUCCAGCCUAAAUUGGUCCCAAGUCCUUUGAAAAUAUGGUUGUGAGCCCUCUGCAAAUACAGUCUUUAACGUCUGAUCCUGUCACUUCAAGAUACAUUAACCCUGUUUUAUUCAGGGUUUGCAGUGGUUUUGCAACACUUAUAGUGCUACAGAGGUAACAGUCAUAUCCUAACUACUGAUAUCAGCAUCAUUUGAUAUUGAUACAAUUGACAGCUUGUGAUACAUUUAACUUUAUGUGAGGAGAUUGACAUUAAGGAUUACCAAUGUGCAGGACUCCGCAGAGAAAGAUAAUUCUAUUUUGGAGGGGAUUUUGCUAUUUGAAAAAUGUAGUUUAAUUCUGAUUUGGG